GACGAACGCUGGCGGCGUGCUUAACACAUGCAAGUCGAGCGGUAAGGCCCUUUCGGGGGUACGACGAGCGGCGAACGGGUGAGUAACACGUGGGUGACCUGCCCUUAGCUCUGGGAUAAGCCUGGGAAACUGGGUCUAAUACCGGAUAUGACUCCAUAACGCAUGUUGUGGGGUGGAAAGCCUUGUGCGGCUAGGGAUGGGCCCGCGGCCUAUCAGCUUGUUGGGUGGGGUGAUGGCCCACCAAGGCGACGACGGGUAGCCGGCCUGAGAGGGCGACCGGCCACACUGGGACUGAGACACGGCCCACGACUCCUACGGGAGGGCAGCAGUGGGGAAUCUUGCGCAAUGGGCGAAAGCCUGACGCAGCGACGCCGCGU
RNAcentral lists this ribosomal RNA (377 nucleotides) under uncultured bacterium. RNAcentral's name for it is "bacterial SSU rRNA". It matches the Rfam family "Bacterial small subunit ribosomal RNA", at positions 28 to 402 of the family's 1533-position model. The record is from RNAcentral.